Numida meleagris (helmeted guineafowl) is the source of this 986-nucleotide long non-coding RNA. RefSeq lists it as uncharacterized. The record is from RefSeq and is a predicted model, not a curated record. The transcript has 2 exons. NCBI's taxonomy places the organism in Eukaryota, Metazoa, Chordata, Aves, Galliformes, Numididae.
CACUAGGAGUUAGGGAACAAAGUGUUGGGAGGAAAACAAACAAGUUUCCUUGGAGAAAUUCCGUUCUGCACAUUGCCAAACAGAUCCUUCGUUACGGGGACCGCCCAGAUUGAUUCAUUUUUCCACUUGACAUAACAGGCCACUGCUGGAGUGCCACUUACAUGAACGAACUGGAAGUGACGCAAGUGCAAAUACGAAGCCUAACAGAUAUUCCCUGCAAGCACUGAAAGAGAAAACGCUGCUGAACAUCUUAGGACUUCAGAGAGAAACAGAAAGCAGAGGCAACACAGCAUGCCCGGUCUGAGCUGCGUGGCUGCUCAUUUAGUAAGGUUCAGGUCGGCUCUCCGAAAGGGCACCAUAAAUGACCUGUCACUACCGUAAGAUCUGUUCGGUGGAGACCUUAGGAGCCCCAGUUUUCCAGCAGUCUCUAGGGCUGGUAGCAGAACAGACUCUUUCUAAUGCAGAGGAGGAAGGGUUAAAGAACAAGCAAUCGCUAUGGCAAUCCCACAGCUGGGAGGCUGGUGGGUCUGCAGAGGGGUAUAAAAGGGAGCAGGGGAAGAGAAGCAAGUGCUUUGGCCUUUUGUAGAGGGACAGAAGCUGCUGCAGCCCACCAGCCAAGGGCAGCGUUUCUGCAGGCACAAGCUCCCCUGCUCUGUGAGGAAGGCAGCUGCUUCGUGUGAUGAGGACGCAGCUCGGACUCAAGGCCAUCACCUUGACAUCUGCACCCACAGCAAACAUCCUGUUCCCCUUCCCCUCGCAGUAAGAGCACAAUGUAAGACAUGAAUUCUGGCCUGCUCUUUCAGGCGGAGCAGCUUUUUCCCAGCUCCUCAGCCCAUUCCCUGCGGCGCCCUUCAAAGCUGUUUCCUGAGUGCGGCUAACCUUCCUGCACCGCUAACAUCAUCCCUUCUGAGGUCUUUCUUCGGUUCUUCCAGCAAUGAGAAAAUGUAAGGAAAUCUUGCUGACUGCGCUUCUUUGAAAUGAGUAGU